RNAcentral lists this ribosomal RNA (253 nucleotides) under uncultured bacterium. RNAcentral describes it as "partial 16S ribosomal RNA". It matches the Rfam family "Bacterial small subunit ribosomal RNA", at positions 524 to 776 of the family's 1533-position model. The record is from RNAcentral.
UACGUAGGGGGCAAGCGUUGUUCGGAAUUACUGGGCGUAAAGGGCGCGUAGGCGGCACGGCAAGUCGGGAGUGAAAGCCCGGGGCUCAACCCCGGAGGGUCUCUCGAAACUGCCGGGCUAGAGUGCGGAAGAGGCAACCGGAAUUCCCAGUGUAGCGGUGAAAUGCGUAGAUAUUGGGAAGAACACCGGAGGCGAAGGCGGGUUGCUGGGCCGACACUGACGCUGAGGCGCGAAAGCCAGGGGAGCAAACGGG